Molecule: ribosomal RNA, 200 nt
Filed under: uncultured prokaryote
Description: partial 16S ribosomal RNA
Rfam family: Bacterial small subunit ribosomal RNA
Source: RNAcentral
GUCAAAUUAUCAUGCCCUUUAUGAUCUGGGCUACACACGUGCUACAAUGGGCGGUAACAAAGAGAAGCGAAGCCGCGAGGCGGAGCAAAUCUCAGAAAGCCGUUCUCAGUUCGGAUUGCAGCCUGCAACUCGGCUGCAUGAAGUCGGAAUCGCUAGUAAUCGCGGAUCAGAAUGUCGCGGUGAAUGCGUUCCCGGGCCUU